UAUAAUAAUAAUAAUAAUAAUAAUAUAUCUUUUAUUGUCAUUGCACAGGUACAACGAGAUUUGGUAUGCAGCUUCCAUCCGAUGUCAUAACUUAAUUAACUAAAAAUUUAGACACCCAGAGAAGCAAGAU
Long non-coding RNA from Amblyraja radiata (thorny skate), 130 nucleotides. RefSeq lists it as uncharacterized. The record is from RefSeq and is a predicted model, not a curated record. NCBI's taxonomy places the organism in Eukaryota, Metazoa, Chordata, Chondrichthyes, Rajiformes, Rajidae. The transcript is spliced from 2 exons.